GACAGAGGUGCCGAGCGUUAGGCGGAAUCACUGGGCUUAAAGCGUGUGUAGGCGGAUUUGUAAGUACCUUGUGAAAUCCCACGGCUCAACCGUGGAACUGCUUGGUAUACUGCUUAUCUUGGGCCAUCUAGGGGCUAGCGGAACAAACGGUGGAGCGGUGAAAUGCGUAGAUAUCGUUUGGAACGCCAAUGGUGAAAACAGCUAGCUGGGGAUGUGCCGACGCUGAGACACGAAAGCCAGGGGAGCGAACGGG
Molecule: ribosomal RNA, 253 nt
Filed under: uncultured bacterium
Lineage: Bacteria
Description: partial 16S ribosomal RNA
Rfam family: Bacterial small subunit ribosomal RNA
Source: RNAcentral